Molecule: ribosomal RNA, 253 nt
Filed under: uncultured bacterium
Lineage: Bacteria
Description: partial 16S ribosomal RNA
Rfam family: Bacterial small subunit ribosomal RNA
Source: RNAcentral
UACGGAGGGUGCAAGCGUUAUCCGGAUUCACUGGGUUUAAAGGGUGCGUAGGCGGAUAGGUAAGUCCGUGGUGAAAUCCUGCAGCUUAACUGCAGAACUGCCGUGGAUACUAUCUAUCUUGAAUGUCGUGGAGGUUAGCGGAAUAUGUCAUGUAGCGGUGAAAUGCUUAGAUAUGACAUAGAACACCCAUUGCGAAGGCAGCUAACUACGCGAUAAUUGACGCUGUUGCACGAAAGCGUGGGGAUCAAACAGG